This 309-nucleotide RNase P RNA is filed under the name Chthoniobacterales bacterium. Its description in RNAcentral is "RNase P RNA component class A". It matches the Rfam family "Bacterial RNase P class A", at positions 17 to 315 of the family's 367-position model. From Rfam's summary of the family: Ribonuclease P (RNase P) is a ubiquitous endoribonuclease, found in archaea, bacteria and eukarya as well as chloroplasts and mitochondria. Lineage: Bacteria; Pseudomonadati; Verrucomicrobiota; Spartobacteria; Chthoniobacterales. The record is from RNAcentral.
UCGCUGAUGCGUGGAAACGCGCGUUAGAGGAAAGUCCGAACACCACACGGCAGCAUGCCGCGUAAAACACGCGGAGGUUGCGCACGUAAGCGCGCGAUCAUGGAAAGUGUCGCAGAAAAUACACCGCCCAGCUCUUUGCUCGCAAAGAGCUGAGUAAGGUUGAAAAGGCGAGGUAAGAGCUCACCGCGCGCGAAGCGAUUCGCGCGGCAGGAAAAACCCCAUGCGGUGCAAGACAGAACAGAGGGAGGGCAGCCGGUCCGAUUCCUCGGGUAUCGUCGCAUCACGGGCGACUGUAGCGGCGGUCUAUGA